This 389-nucleotide RNase P RNA is filed under the name Escherichia coli. RNAcentral's name for it is "RNase P RNA component class A". It matches the Rfam family "Bacterial RNase P class A". Rfam says of the family: Ribonuclease P (RNase P) is a ubiquitous endoribonuclease, found in archaea, bacteria and eukarya as well as chloroplasts and mitochondria. Its best characterised activity is the generation of mature 5'-ends of tRNAs by cleaving the 5'-leader elements of precursor-tRNAs. Cellular RNase Ps are ribonucleoproteins. Lineage: Bacteria; Pseudomonadati; Pseudomonadota; Gammaproteobacteria; Enterobacterales; Enterobacteriaceae. The record is from RNAcentral.
GAAGCUGACCAGACAGUCGCCGCUUCGUCGUCGUCCUCUUCGGGGGAGACGGGCGGAGGGGAGGAAAGUCCGGGCUCCAUAGGGCAGGGUGCCAGGUAACGCCUGGGGGGGAAACCCACGACCAGUGCAACAGAGAGCAAACCGCCGAUGGCCCGCGCAAGCGGGAUCAGGUAAGGGUGAAAGGGUGCGGUAAGAGCGCACCGCGCGGCUGGUUGGCCUAGAUGAAUGACUGUCCACGACAGAACCCGGCUUAUCGGUCAGUUUCACCUGAUUUAACGAAAACCCGCCAGCGUAAACCGGCGGGUUUUUGCUUUUGGAGGGGCAGAAAGAUGAAUGACUGUCCACGACGCUAUACCCAAAAGAAAGCGGCUUAUCGGUCAGUUUCACCU